This 80-nucleotide non-coding RNA is filed under the name Thalassiosira gravida. Lineage: Eukaryota; Bacillariophyta; Thalassiosirophyceae; Thalassiosirales; Thalassiosiraceae. The record is from RNAcentral.
AGCUUGGUGGGAAACAGUUCACACGGUGUUACAAGCGAUAGAGCACCAUACUCAAUUAGCCUGAAUAGUUACAAUCCAAU